RNAcentral lists this long non-coding RNA (554 nucleotides) under Brassica rapa (field mustard). RNAcentral describes it as "long non-coding RNA (BRAP_LNC000185)". Lineage: Eukaryota; Viridiplantae; Streptophyta; Magnoliopsida; Brassicales; Brassicaceae. The record is from RNAcentral.
UUAACUUAGGUUCCAACAGACUGGAAGAUUACAAACUAAAUGUGUAAAUACAUUUUUGUAUAGACAAAUAGUAUAUUCAAAGAUGUGGAAUAUAUUCGUCAUACAAAACGACACUGUAAACCCACUACGUUUCGUAAAUGUGAAUCCAUCGAAACAAAAUGAAAAUCUGCAAGUUUCAAAGAAAACAAACAAAAUGAAAAUCUGCCCAAAGAUAAUAUUAUAGAAAUAAUAAGAUGAAUAAACUGAAUAUUAAAGAUGAUUAUGACUCACAAAGUCGACAAAAAAAAAGAUGAAUAUGCCUCUUGACUCCAGAAUUGUCCUUUGCUGUAAAAUCCGACCAAGAAUCGUCGAGUCCAAUGCACUUGCACAUGGAGAGUUCAGUUUUGUUUUUCUAAUUAGGAAAUAAUGUACGUUUUCAUCAUUUUUCUAAUGAAAAAAUGUUUUAGAGCAAGUAAAGUAUAUAGAUAAGAAAAACUUAUCAGGAAUAUCGACGACUUGAUUGCCAAAUUUGAAGUCCACAUGCUCCAAGACCAAUGACAUAAUGCAAAAAAUCC